CCUACGGGAGGCAGCAGUGGGGAAUAUUGGACAAUGGGCGAAAGCCUGAUCCAGCCAUGCCGCGUGUGUGAAGAAGGCCUUCGGGUUGUAAAGCACUUUCAGUGGGGAAGAAAGCCUUGGGGCUAAUACCCUCGAGGAAGGACAUCACCCACAGAAGAAGCACCGGCUAACUCCGUGCCAGCAGCCGCGGUAAUACGGAGGGUGCGAGCGUUAAUCGGAAUUACUGGGCGUAAAGCGCGCGUAGGCGGUCUGAUAAGCCGGUUGUGAAAGCCCCGGGCUCAACCUGGGAACGGCAUCCGGAACUGGCAGGCUAGAGUGCAGGAGAGGGAGGUAGAAUUCCCGGUGUAGCGGUGAAAUGCGUAGAGAUCGGGAGGAAUACCAGUGGCGAAGGCGACCUUCUGGACUGACACUGACGCUGAGGUGCGAAAGCGUGGGUAGCAAACAGGAUUAGAUACCCGAGUAGUC
Molecule: ribosomal RNA, 465 nt
Filed under: Vreelandella stevensii
Lineage: Bacteria; Pseudomonadati; Pseudomonadota; Gammaproteobacteria; Oceanospirillales; Halomonadaceae
Description: partial 16S ribosomal RNA
Rfam family: Bacterial small subunit ribosomal RNA
Source: RNAcentral